RNAcentral lists this ribosomal RNA (253 nucleotides) under uncultured bacterium. RNAcentral's name for it is "partial 16S ribosomal RNA". It matches the Rfam family "Bacterial small subunit ribosomal RNA", at positions 524 to 776 of the family's 1533-position model. The record is from RNAcentral.
UACGUAGGUGGCAAGCGUUGUCCGGAAUUAUUGGGCGUAAAGAGCUCAUAGGCGGCUUGUCGCGUCGGCUGUGAAAACCCGCGGCUCAACUGUGGGCGGGCAGCUGAUACGGGCAGGCUGGAGUUCGGUAGGGGAGACUGGAAUUCCUGGUGUAGCGGUGAAAUGCGCAGAUAUCAGGAGGAACACCGGUGGCGAAGGCAGCUCGCUGGGACGGUACUGACGCUGAGACGCGAAAGCGUGGGGAGCAAACAGG